UCCAAAUGACGAUGCACAGCACUGGGCACUGAUUCGGCUCAUAAAAAUGAGUUCGAUUAUGAGUGAUACUGCUUUAAAGUGGGCUUAGAAACCCCACGCUACUGAUUCG
RNAcentral lists this small nucleolar RNA (109 nucleotides) under Lachancea lanzarotensis. Lineage: Eukaryota; Fungi; Ascomycota; Saccharomycetes; Saccharomycetales; Saccharomycetaceae. The record is from RNAcentral.